Molecule: long non-coding RNA, 2197 nt
Organism: Equus caballus (horse)
Lineage: Eukaryota; Metazoa; Chordata; Mammalia; Perissodactyla; Equidae
Source: Ensembl
CUGAAUGUCACACAAUCAUUUUUCAAACACAAAUAUUCAAAAUAGCUAUGGGCACAGCCUGUAUUGUAUGAGCACUGACCAAUGAGAAGUGAUGCUGGCCACUGGCACAUGAGCAGAGUUCUGAGCGGCUCCCCAUGACCCAUCUGCCACCCUGCCAGGUGCUAACCCUUUAGUUGUUGGGUGGAAUGAGAAGGGAGGAGGGAGUCCUGGGGAGGGGCCGAGGCCGUUGAGGUGGCAUGAAAGGGUGCUCUGGGGACUCAGGUUAGUGGCUCUUUAACAACUGGUGUGGAGUCAUCUCAAUAUUUUAACAUAGGCUGGCUUUCCAGGUGUGUGCAGGGUGAUGAUUAGCUCUACCUGCCACCCAUCACAGAACUCAGAGUUUCACCACUUCCUUCUCCAUUUUCUUUAGCUGUCAGCAUAUAGUUAAUGGGCAACAACACAGCUCUCCAUCCAGUUCUGGGAAAUAAUAAUCAUGGUUAAUAGUUACUGAGAACUGAUGAUUUCAUUUCAUCUUCAUACCAACGCUUGGGGUAGGCACCAUUUUAAAAGCGAUUGGAGACAGGUUAAACAACUUGCCCUCAAUCAAUGGUUGGGAAGUGAAAGAACCAAGCUUCAAACCCAGGUCUGUCUGGGUCUUGAGCCAAGCUCCAAGUCUGUGUCACAUUGCCCAGGACUCGGCUGCCAAUUCUCCCGACCUCCUCGUCCCUCACUGCUGCAUCAGCAAAUCCAGGGCUCAUGGCAGGAAGAGCAGAGAAGAGCAAAGAUGAAAACUCCUCAAGGUCACAUCUAUCCCUCCUUGCCUGGCACAGAGGAGAUGCUUCAUUUGGAUGUGUUGCUGGAGGGGAGAGGUGCAAGCAGUAUGCCAUGGGCACUCAGAGAAAGAGACUAUCUUUAUUCCUGUAAGCUUCAACUAGGGAGCUUCAAUGUUGCGCAAAUGACAGCAGAGAGAGUCAUCAGGUCAAGCCUAUCCAGCAAGAAGCCAAGUGGAGAGUUGAGCAAUUAUCUGAAGUGGGCAGUGAGACGGCCAAAACCAGAUAAUACUUAACCAGAAAGUCAUCGUGGAGGGAAAAAGUGGACUGAAAAUAGAAGGGAUGGGGUAAAAUGUCAAACAAUUUGGUCAGUGUCCACAGUCCAAAUUCACUGGAUAACAGCCAAUUCCUUGCUUCAUGUAAUUAUUUAGAACGAGUCUAAAAGACUGAGGUUUUAAAAAAAGAAGAUGAAUUUGUUACCAAGGUUGUUGCAUGUUUGUGCAAAACUUUUUCAUAUCCGUAGGACUAUCUGUGACAUGUCUAAUUCUGAAUAUUUCCAGGAUAUUUUAGAUUGGUGGGUCAAGUUUGUUGAGGAAGCCCAUAUUAUCUGUAGACUUACAUGGAGAAAAACUUUCUUUUAUGGAUUAUUUGAGUGUUAUAUUUAAUUCGCCUUUCUCCCCCCAUAGCAUAUUGCUUAGGAAUUUUCCAUUGAAAACUCCUGGUUCUCUGUUACUUUAUCAUUUCCUCAUGUGGCAAUUUCAGUAUCCCCUUGAUUUUAGUAGAACCUAUCAAUGAAGUAUAUAAGUCUACUAGAAUGGGAUUUGCAUUACUUUUGGUUAAAAAAAACCCCACCAAAGUCUCAGAUCAAUGUGGUGUUUUUUUCCCUUCUAUUUGGUAUAAAAACCAUAAACUAAUUACUCUGAACAGAUGUUUCCUAGACCUAAAAUAUAGUUAUCAGCCCACUGGCCUCUAUAAAUCCAUCGCUGUAUACCUGGUAAUCCUGAAGACUCCUUAGUGCCAUGUUAAACCUUCCAUUUGUUGAUUUUUUAUUGAGAAAAAGUUCAUAAAUUAGGUUCACUGCUGCUUGGAAUUAAGAAGAAAACACAGCCAUGUUAGUAUUUCAGAUGGGAAAACCAAAGUUAAAAACAAGUAUUUUUUUUCACUCUAUCAUGUCUUGAACAUUUGAAGCCAUUACAUAGCAUCUUAGAAACAACAACAACAAAAUAACCCAGGGCUACAUUUUUCAGUAGCUUUGGCUGAUGUUUGAAAUCCACAGUGAAAAUUGCCCAUGGAAUAUUCUGGAAGGACUCCAAGGGAGUCUAUUGGAAUAUCUUACAAUAAAGUAAAAAUUCAAGAAGAAUUUUACAUGCAAGUAAGGAUUAAGAAAUUUGUUUUAUAAGUCACGGGAUAAAGGUAUGUAUUAAGUGACAUUGCUAAAUUCUUCCCUU